UGAUUCCUGGAAUGUGCGAUACCCCUGUUAUUUUGAACCUACAUUUACGUUUAUGGGAUUCCUACAUUGCCAAUUGGAUGUCAGGCCGUCGUUUGCAACGGAAGACAGAAGAGCGGUUGCGGUUACCCACCUAGCAUUGGCUAGGCGUCAAAAUCACAGGAAACGGCAUUUUGGGUAAAUU
RNAcentral lists this non-coding RNA (181 nucleotides) under Clostridiales bacterium. RNAcentral describes it as "6S RNA". It matches the Rfam family "6S / SsrS RNA". Rfam says of the family: E. coli 6S RNA was the first non coding RNA to be sequenced, but its function was unknown until recently. The record is from RNAcentral. Lineage: Bacteria; Bacillati; Bacillota; Clostridia; Eubacteriales. RNAcentral also lists the same sequence under 1 other name.